UGAUCGUCUGUGUAGCUGUGCUGCUGCUGCGUUUGUGCUGAUUUUGAUCCUAAUCUACGCAUGAUUUUCACCUUUAAAGAACACAAGAAAUGGAGCAGCAGCACAGCACAAAAAGGAUCAUGUCUAUGAGGAGAUACAGCAGACGCCAAACUCAGGAAAUAAGAUGAACACGAUUUAUGCCACUGCCAACUUUCCCACAAACCCCUCUGCCUCGCUGCAUUACUCCAGCAUCAACUUCCAAACAGCUCUGACAGAGUUGGUGGUGAGACAGUGAUCCUCAAACCCAGCUCUGCUGCCUACGAAUAUUCUACUGUGAAGCAAAAUCCAGCCUACUGUACAGUCAGCCAGCCGUCCAGCUCUUCAGAGGAUCCUCUCUACACAACAGUCAACAAGCCACAGCAGCACCGAGCAAAGAUCAGCCCUGUCAAUUUAUGACAUUUACUACAUGUAUGGUCAAAAUUUCAGGUCAUUCAUUGCUGAUGUGGUUGUUUACAAUGAAUCCAGCUCAGACUUCAGGAACUUCACCAAGAUAUUCAGAUGUUGGACGCUGUCAACUUAAAUCCUAUCAAUCCAGAGACACACGAUUCACUUCAUCAUCCACAUUGUUUGAGUCACCAAGGUGUGAACAGGACUUUUGCACCGAUCUGUAAUUACUAGAGGAGUCUUUCUUGUCUUGCUUCUGAAGCUCAGCUUUAUAUUACAGCUGAUUAUUAUCUCAUUACCUGAUUUAACUUAUCACAGAUACUGUAUAUUGUUGACCUGGUCUGAAUCAGAGUCCUAGAAAUAAAAGAAAAUCCUUUCCCUACAAUUCAGUGAUAUUUUUAUGUGAAAACUUGC
Long non-coding RNA from Micropterus salmoides (largemouth bass), 837 nucleotides. RefSeq lists it as uncharacterized. The record is from RefSeq and is a predicted model, not a curated record. NCBI's taxonomy places the organism in Eukaryota, Metazoa, Chordata, Actinopteri, Centrarchiformes, Centrarchidae. The transcript is spliced from 3 exons.